UUAGUUUUCCAAAAAAAAUGGUUACAAUAAAAAAGAUUCAACGACGCCAUUCAAACUUUCAUAUGGAAUCUGUGUCAAGAAUUUCUAGCUUACCUAUUAUUGAAUCAAGUAUAAAGAUAGCUAAUAAUGUUUAUCACAAAAUCAAGCGCUCUAAUUCCUUGAUAAAUUGGAGUCUUAAUACUGCUGAGCAUUUUUUCGUAAUUGCUACUGCAUCAGUUCAACCAGCGAUACAAAUGUUAAAUAAGCCUAUUUUUUCAAUUGAUCGUCUUCUGUGUCAAAGUAUUGACAUUGUUGAAGAACGGAUUCCAAACAUCUGUUUACCACCAGAACUUAUGUACUCGAACACGCGAGAAUUCAUGAAUAAUAAGUUUGUCAAGCCAGUACUGAAACGAGCCGGAAGUGUAAAGCAAAUAGGUAGUCAAGCUGCGAACGUAGCUGCUGAUAAAUUGGAUGAUGCUCUAACUGUUGUCGAUGGAUAUGUUGAUCGUUAUUUACCAGAGGUUCUUGUGGAUAAUACAAAUGAAAAAAAUAAAAUAGAUGCAAAGCCGAGUGCAAUAACAACAAGUAAAACAGCUCGUACAAUUCAGCAUGGUGCUAGAUUUUCUCGUAAGCUUCAGAAACGACUUACUCGUCGAACUAUAGCCGAAGUCCAAGCACUUAAAAACCAAGGAGUCCAGUGUGUACAUAUGAUCAUGGAUGUUAUGAAACUAAUCGUAACAAAUCCGAAAAUGGCAUAUAAAAAAUCUAAAGAACUGUGGGCAAUACUGAGUUUGGCAGAGCCAGAAAAUCAAGAACGUCCUCAAACUCUUGAACAACUAAUCGUUUUACUGACGCGGGAAUCAGCACGGAGAGUAGUUCAUAUAAUAAAUGCGGCAACUGCAUUAGCUACAAGGAUUCCUCGACGUACUAAAAUCAUUAUGAUGACAGUUUCACAUCAAAUAUUAUCCAUUACAGAAUCCACCUUAAAAAUUUAUCAUUUCUUAGAUGGUUUCCCAAGUUAGUAAGCGCGAAACUCCCGAAUUACAACUAUCGGCUCUUGAAUCAGCAAUAAAAAAUCUCAAUGAUACUAUGAAUAUUUUAUUGGAACGUAUUGCUGUGUUUCUUGCUGGACGUCCUACAUCGAGAAAAUUAACAACACCACAUCUACGAAGAAACCAUAAUAAUCAUAUUACAUCUACAACACAUCCUAUGAAUGGCAUCGAUUGAUAUCUUCUGCAAAAAGAAAAUAAUAUU
This 1233-nucleotide unclassified non-coding RNA is filed under the name Cotesia glomerata. RNAcentral describes it as "lipid storage droplets surface-binding protein 1, transcript variant X3". Lineage: Eukaryota; Metazoa; Arthropoda; Insecta; Hymenoptera; Braconidae. The record is from RNAcentral.